RNAcentral lists this ribosomal RNA (515 nucleotides) under uncultured bacterium. RNAcentral describes it as "bacterial SSU rRNA". It matches the Rfam family "Bacterial small subunit ribosomal RNA", at positions 28 to 589 of the family's 1533-position model. The record is from RNAcentral.
UGCGAACGCUGGCGGCAGGCCUAACACAUGCAAGUCGAACGGACCCUUCGGGGUUAGUGGCGGACGGGUGAGUAACACGUGGGAACGUGCCUUUAGGUUCGGAAUAGCUCCUGGAAACGGGUGGUAAUGCCGAAUGUGCCCUUCGGGGGAAAGAUUUAUCGCCUUUAGAGCGGCCCGCGUCUGAUUAGCUUGUUGGUGGGGUAAUGGCCCACCAAGGCUACGAUCAGUAGCUGGUCUGAGAGGAUGACCAGCCACAUUGGGACUGAGACACGGCCCAAACUCCUACGGGAGGCAGCAGUGGGGAAUCUUGCGCAAUGGGCGAAAGCCUGACGCAGCCAUGCCGCGUGUAUGAUGAAGGUCUUAGGAUUGUAAAAUACUUUCACCGGUGAAGAUAAUGACUGUAGCCGGAGAAGAAGCCCCGGCUAACUUCGUGCCAGCAGCCGCGGUAAUACGAAGGGGGCUAGCGUUGCUCGGAAUUACUGGGCGUAAAGGGAGCGUAGGCGGACAUUUAAGUC